GUUGUUUUCAAUUAAUGUCCCAUUAAUUUUGUAUCAUUGUUUAUCAUAAGUCAGGGAUUUUGAUACCAUAUUACUUAAAAUAUCUCACAGAAUGAGAUUGUUUCAAAGAUAGAAAGAUUUUGGCAGAAGUUUUGCUUUAAGUACAGAUAAUUAAUUCUUUGUCUCAUUUGCAAUCUUACACCAAUGAUAAAUUUACUCACAAAGUGGUACCCCAACCCCAAAUAUAUCUCUUUUAAAAUUACUUCGAUAAAGAUAAUCCUAUAUUUUCAAAUGGUGUGAUGACUGAAAUUAGCAGUAAUCCUUCUAAAUCUUCAAAUCUACAUAAAUUUAAAAAUUUCGUUUCCACGCUUUAACUUAAGUUUUCCUCUUCAAAUUGUAUAAAACUCAAACAUAAGCGUGAGAGGGUUCGAAUUUGGACAGUGAGUCACUCGCCGUUCUGACGUUAUGCCCCUUUAGACUUUGUUCUCUAA
RNAcentral lists this long non-coding RNA (470 nucleotides) under Mytilus galloprovincialis (Mediterranean mussel). The record is from RNAcentral. Lineage: Eukaryota; Metazoa; Mollusca; Bivalvia; Mytilida; Mytilidae.